Molecule: ribosomal RNA, 504 nt
Filed under: uncultured soil bacterium
Lineage: Bacteria
Description: bacterial SSU rRNA
Rfam family: Bacterial small subunit ribosomal RNA
Source: RNAcentral
AGAUUGAACGCUGGCGGAAUGCUUUACACAUGCAAGUCGAACGGCAGCACGGGGGUAACCCUGGUGGCGAGUGGCGAACGGGUGAGUAAUACAUCGGAACGUGCCCAGUCGUGGGGGAUAACGUAGCGAAAGCUACGCUAAUACCGCAUACGAACUCUGGUUGAAAGCGGGGGACUCGCAGGAGCCUCGCGCGAUUGGAGCGGCCGAUGGCAGAUUAGGUAGUUGGUGGGGUAAAGGCUCACCAAGCCUGCGAUCUGUAGCUGGUCUGAGAGGACGACCAGCCACACUGGGACUGAGACACGGCCCAGACUCCUACGGGAGGCAGCAGUGGGGAAUUUUGGACAAUGGGCGCAAGCCUGAUCCAGCCACUCCGCGUGCAGGAUGGAAGGCCCUCGGGUUGUAAACGUGUCGUUUUAGGACGGUAACGAAAAGCCGCUCUCUAAUACGAGGCGGUCAUGACGGUACCGUCAGAAUAAGCGACCGACUAACUACGUGACCAGCAGA